AGAGAGAGACAUGCGCGCAUAUCAAUAAGCGGAGGAAAAGAAACUAACUAGGAUUCCCUCAGUAACGGCGAGUGAAGCGGGAAGAGCUCAAAUUUGAAAUCUUCAAGGUUCUACCUUGACGAAUUGUAGUUUAAAGAAGUGUUUUCUGUUGGAGUUUUGGUAAAAGUUCUUUGGAAUAGGACAUCAUAGAGGGUGAGAAUCCCGUAUUUGACCAUUACUUUCAGCUUUGUGAUACACUUUCAAAGAGUCGGAUUGUUUGGGAAUGCAGUCCAAAAUGGGUGGUAAAUUUCAUCUAAAGCUAAAUACUUGGCGAGAGACCGAUAGCGAACAAGUACCGUGAGGGAAAGAUGAAAAGAACUUUGAAAAGAGAGUUAAACAGUACGUGAAAUUGUCAAAAGGGAAGCGUUUGACACCAGUGUUGUUUUCUCGAAAAUCAAUUAAAAAGAGUUAGGAUUUUGUUGUGUAUUGACCUUAUCAGCUUCUGCACUUCAUUUUCUUGUCUUUUUUAAUGCACUUUUCGUUUAACAAGUCAACAUCAAUUUCUUUUGUUGUAAAAGGGUCAUUGGAAGGUGGCUUUCUUUUCGGAGAAAGUGUUUAUAGCCUUUGGCCUCUGCAAUCGGAGAGAUUGAGGUCUGCAGCGUAGAUCCUUCGGGGUUAGAUACAUUUGUGCUAAGUUAUAGCCUUUCAUAGACAACUUGUUGACUAUGAUCAGUCAUGUAGCUUACUCGCUUAUGCUAUUUUACCUACGCUUAGGAUGUUGAUGUGAUACUGCGAGCA
Molecule: ribosomal RNA, 777 nt
Filed under: uncultured Neocallimastigales
Lineage: Eukaryota; Fungi; Neocallimastigomycota; Neocallimastigomycetes; Neocallimastigales
Description: partial large subunit ribosomal RNA
Rfam family: Eukaryotic large subunit ribosomal RNA
Source: RNAcentral